RNAcentral lists this ribosomal RNA (327 nucleotides) under uncultured eukaryote. RNAcentral describes it as "partial 18S ribosomal RNA". It matches the Rfam family "Eukaryotic small subunit ribosomal RNA", at positions 1470 to 1796 of the family's 1831-position model. The record is from RNAcentral.
CCCUUAGAUGUUCUGGGCCGCACGCGCGCUACACUGAUACAUGCAACGAGUUUUGUCCUUGGCUGAAAGGCCUGGGUAAUCUUUGAACGUGAAUCGUGCUGGGGAUAGAUGAUUGCAAUUAUUCAUCUUCAACGAGGAAUUCCUAGUAAACGCAAGUCAUCAGCUUGCAUUGAUUACGUCCCUGCCCUUUGUACACACCGCCCGUCGCACCUACCGAUUGAAUGGUCCGGUGAAAUCUUCGGAUCUGAGAGAUGUUGGAUUAAUUUCUGACGCCUUUUGGAAAAGUCGCUUAAACCUUAUCAUUUAGAGGAAGGUGAAGUCGUAACA